UCAAACUUGGUCAUUUAGAGGAAGUAAAAGUCGUAACAAGGUUUCCGUAGGUGAACCUGCGGAAGGAUCAUUAAUGAAUUAAAUUCUGUCGGGUUGUUGCUGGUCUCUAGGGACAAGUGCACGCUUGACUCAAUUUAUUAACCACCUGUGCACCUUUUGUAGACUUGGAAUAACACUCGAGCUUUUAAUGUCUAGUUAAACUCGGAUUAGAGGGAUUGCUUUCCUAGCUUUCCAUCGAUUUUUCAAGUCUAUGUCUUCUAUUAUACUCUUUUAUUGAUGUAUGUCAGUGGCUUUAUUGAUAAUUACAAUACAACUUUCAACAACGGAUCUCUUGGCUCUCGCAUCGAUGAAGAACGCAGC
This 360-nucleotide unclassified non-coding RNA is filed under the name uncultured fungus. RNAcentral's name for it is "partial contains small subunit ribosomal RNA, internal transcribed spacer 1, and 5.8S ribosomal RNA". The stretch from base 1 to 73 matches the Rfam family "Eukaryotic small subunit ribosomal RNA", at positions 1759 to 1831 of the family's 1831-position model. The record is from RNAcentral. Lineage: Eukaryota; Fungi.